Molecule: transfer RNA, 99 nt
Filed under: Agrocybe pediades
Lineage: Eukaryota; Fungi; Basidiomycota; Agaricomycetes; Agaricales; Agrocybaceae
Rfam family: tRNA
About the family: Transfer RNA (tRNA) molecules are approximately 80 nucleotides in length. Their secondary structure includes four short double-helical elements and three loops (D, anti-codon, and T loops).
Source: Rfam by way of RNAcentral
GCCCGCCUAGCUCAAUCGGAUAGAGCGUCAGACUCUUACUAAGAGAGACGAGAGCAAUCGGGCAUCUGAAGGCUGCGAGUUCGACCCUCGCGGUGGGCU